AUUCUCUAGUUGUAUACAAGAGCUCCUUGAGACCAGAUGCCGUUUCUCGCGUCAAUGAGGGUUGACCAAAAAGCGAUUGCAUUUGGAUGUGCACCAGAAUGCGUUUAUGAUUGUAGCGCUCUUCCAAAAGUUCCCAUGCCUUUUCAUAACUUGCAGACUCAACAGCAAUGUUUUGCAUAAAACGAUGUGCAUCACCUAUUAAACACGUUUGUAGGAAAUGCAAUUUGUCGAUGUCCUCCAGGGUCGCGUUUUUAUGGACGAGAGCUUGAAAUCUGUCGUGAAAAGCACGCCAGUUUGUGUAAGAUCCGUCGAAUUUGGGCAGAUCAAUCCUCGGGAGACGAAUCGCCGAAUGUGAGGACGAUGCAGAAGAAUGAGGGGGCGGAGCACCCAUUAGGACAUCACCUGCGAUAAGUGUUUUCGAUUUUUCCAUCGCCUCUACCAAUUCUGCCCUAUAUUCGAGCAUACCACCACCAAUGAUUGCCUCGUGAUAGGCUUUCGACGUAGCUAGAUCUUCUUCUAGCUUUGAAAGACGUCCCGAUGCAUAUGCUGGUGUUCUCCGCUCCUUCGGAGCCUUUUUGAAAUUAGUAAGGUCUUUGAUGACUUUUAGUAAUAUAAAAAAAAAACGAAAUCGGGACAGGUUUUACUAACAAGAAAAGCAACGACUUACUGCUUGUAUGCUGCGGCUACGGCUGCUGACUUUGUCGGUGAAUUGCUGCUGACGUCGUCGUCGUCGUUAAAGAUGCUGCUGGCGUCGUCGUUGAUGUUGCUGCAGGGGCUCCGAGUCAAUGAUGAAUCGUUUAAAUGAUAUAUUUUGUAUACUUUUCCUUUUUUUUAUUUUAACUAGAUUUCUUGUUUUUUAAACUGCACACACGGCACUAUAUAUUAAGUUUUUUUGUGUAAAUGUAAUUUACUUAAUGUUUUAACUUUAAAUUUGCUUGCACUGAUUGUUAUUUAAAUUAAGAAAAACAAAACCUCAAAUACUGUUUGUAUGUUAAAUAAAAACUCGAAGGACCAAAUGUUCUCGACUAGAAACUUUAGCAAAGUUUUAGAAAUUAUGCCGGUUAAAAAUGUUCCAAAGAAAAGACGUUAUCUUGUUCAAACUUGAAAUUAGAAUAAUCUUUAAUUUUAUCAUAUGACCUAGUGUACAAUACAAAAUAUAUACAAUCCAUUAAUUUCUUUAUAUAAUCUUGACAUUCAAAUGACAUUUUUAUCUUAUUUAACAAUUUGUGGAACGUAUUUAUUAUUAUUAAAAAUGAACCAAAUGAAUUUAAAAACUGAAUGAAUGUUCAAAUACUUUAAAGUUCUGUUUGCAUUUACGCGAAUUAUUUA
Molecule: long non-coding RNA, 1329 nt
Organism: Eupeodes corollae
Lineage: Eukaryota; Metazoa; Arthropoda; Insecta; Diptera; Syrphidae
Exons: 3
Source: RefSeq, a predicted model, not a curated record